This 193-nucleotide unclassified non-coding RNA is filed under the name uncultured Entolomataceae. Its description in RNAcentral is "sequence contains ITS2". The record is from RNAcentral. Lineage: Eukaryota; Fungi; Basidiomycota; Agaricomycetes; Agaricales; Entolomataceae.
AAUUCUCAACCACACAAGUUGUGUUAAACGUCUUGAGUGGCUUGGAUUUGGGACUUUUGCUGGCUUGUUGAGUCGGCUAUCCUGAAAUAUAUUAGCAAGGCUUUCAUUUGCUAGCCUAUUGGUGUGAUAUGCAUCUACGCCAUUGGAAAAUGAAGUCUAGCUUCUAACGGUCCUUUGGACAAUUUAUUUGACA